Molecule: ribosomal RNA, 484 nt
Filed under: uncultured bacterium
Lineage: Bacteria
Description: SSU rRNA
Rfam family: Bacterial small subunit ribosomal RNA
Source: RNAcentral
AGGACGAACGCUGGCGGCGUGCUUAACACAUGCAAGUCGAGCGGAAAGGCCCUUCGGGGUACUCGAGCGGCGAACGGGUGCGUAACACGUGGAUAACCUUCCUUCAGGUGGGGAAUAACCCAGUGAAAAUUGGGCUAAUACCGCAUAACAAAACGAUGAGACAUCUUGUUGUUUUCAAAGGCGCAAGUCGCCAGAAGAGGGAUCCGCGGCCGAUUAGCUUGUUGGCGAGGUAAUGGCUCACCAAGGCAAUGAUCGGUAGCCGGACUGAGAGGUUGCGGCCACGACUGGAACUGAGACACGGUCCAGACUCCUACGGGAGGCAGCAGUGGGGAAUCUUGCACAAUGGGCGAAAGCCUGAUGCAGCAACGCCGCGUGGGGGAUGAAGCUUCUCGGAGUGUAAACCCCUUUGACCCCGGAAGAAAGCCCGCAAGGGUUUGACGGUACGGGUAUAAGAAGCCCCGGCUAACUACGUGCCAGCAGCCGC